RNAcentral lists this ribosomal RNA (500 nucleotides) under uncultured bacterium. Its description in RNAcentral is "partial 16S ribosomal RNA". It matches the Rfam family "Bacterial small subunit ribosomal RNA", at positions 30 to 523 of the family's 1533-position model. The record is from RNAcentral.
AUUGAACGCUGGCGGCAUGCCUUACACAUGCGAGUCGAACGGCAGCACGGGAGCAAUCCUGGUGGCGAGUGGCGAACGGGUGAGUAAAGUAUCGGAACGUGCCCAGUCGUGGGGGAUAACGUAGCGAAAGUUACGCUAAUACCGCACACGAUCUAUGGAUGAAAGCGGGGGAUCGCAAGACCUCGCGCGAUUGGAGCGGCCGAUAUCAGAUUAGGUAGUUGGUGGGGUAAAGGCUCACCAAGCCGACGAUCUGUAGCUGGUCUGAGAGGACGACCAGCCACACUGGGACUGAGACACGGCCCAGACUCCUACGGGAGGCAGCAGUGGGGAAUUUUGGACAAUGGGCGAAAGCAUGAUCCAGCCAUGCCGCGUGCAGGAUGAAGGCCUUCGGGUUGUAAACUGCUUUUGUACGGAACGAAAAGGUUUGGCCUAAUAAGCUGAGCUCAUGACGGUACCGUAAGAAUAAGCACCGGCUAACUACGUGCCAGCCGCCGCAGUAA